AGAAUCAACGCUGGCGGCGUGCCUAACACAUGCAAGCCGCACGAGAAAGUGGAGCAAUCCAUGAGUAAAGUGGCGCACGGGUGAGUAACACGUGACUAACCUACCUCCGAGUGGGGAAUAACUGAGAGAAAUCUUAGCUAAUACCGCAUAACACUUACGAGUCAAAGCAGCAAUGCGCUUGGAGAGGGGGUCGCGGCAGAUUAGCUAGUUGGCGGGGUAACGGCCCACCAAGGCUUUGAUCGGUA
Molecule: ribosomal RNA, 245 nt
Filed under: uncultured bacterium
Lineage: Bacteria
Description: partial small subunit ribosomal RNA
Rfam family: Bacterial small subunit ribosomal RNA
Source: RNAcentral